This 467-nucleotide ribosomal RNA is filed under the name uncultured bacterium. RNAcentral describes it as "partial 16S ribosomal RNA". It matches the Rfam family "Bacterial small subunit ribosomal RNA", at positions 28 to 506 of the family's 1533-position model. The record is from RNAcentral.
GACGAACGCUGGCGGCGUGCUUAACACAUGCAAGUCGAACGGAAAGGCCCUGCUUUUGUGGGGUGCUCGAGUGGCGAACGGGUGAGUAACACGUGAGUAACCUGCCCUUGACUUUGGGAUAACUUCAGGGAACUGGGGCUAAUACCGGAUAGGAGCUCCUGCUGCAUGGUGGGGGUUGGAAAGUUUCGGCGGUUGGGGAUGGACUCGCGGCUUAUCAGCUUGUUGGUGGGGUAGUGGCUUACCAAGGCUUUGACGGGUAGCCGGCCUGGGAGGGUGACCGGCCACAUUGGGACUGAGAUACGGCCCAGACGCCUACGGGAGGCAGCAGUGGGGAAUAGUGCGCAAUGGGCGGAAGCCUGAUGCAGCAACGCCGCGUGCGGGAUGACGGCCUUCGGGUGGUAAACCGCUUUCGCCUGUGACGAAGCGUGAGUGACGGUAAUGGGUAAAGAAGCACCGGCUAACUACGU